RNA transcript from Acipenser ruthenus (sterlet), 1094 nucleotides. It is a transcript of the gene named mitochondrial inner membrane protease subunit 1-like, with no coding region annotated. The record is from RefSeq and is a predicted model, not a curated record. The transcript has 4 exons. Lineage: Eukaryota; Metazoa; Chordata; Actinopteri; Acipenseriformes; Acipenseridae.
GGUUUGUGCUAUGUGGCUGUGUUGUUGUUGUGAGAAGUGAAUUUACAGUCCCGCAGUAGGUGAAAUUGCCCAGUGGUAUUAUUUAUCAUAAGCUUAUGAAUAACAUAUAGUUAAAUGUCUUAGCUGGUUACGUGUCUUAAAGAAAACAAGGUUUUGCCAUGAUACGAAGGGCUGUUGGAAAGACUUUGGGCUUCGUUGGGUAUACUAUUCAAUAUGGUUGCAUCGCCCACUGUGCUUUUGAAUACAUUGGUGAACUUGUAAUGUGUUCUGGACCUUCUAUGCAGCCCACAAUCACAAACUAUGAUGUCGUUUUUUCAGAAAAGUUAAGUCGUCAUUUUUAUCGAAUUGAAAAGGCACGUAUGGUUAGAGGGUGAUGACCUCAAGAACUCUACAGACUCAAGAAGUUAUGGUCCAGUUCCCUACGCCCUCAUAACGGGUCGAGUUUGCUUUAAGGUACAGUAACAAUAAACAGAUUACAUGUGAACUGUCACAUUUCUGCUCAACAUCUUGGUCAUAAAAAUGAAUUCAAUAAUUGCAAAGCUAGGACAUAUAUAUAUAUUUUUUUUAAUUAAUUUAAAUCAUAACAAAAUAUUUAUAAUGUUGAGAAGUCGAUGUUUAGUUAUGUAACUGACACAGCAUUGCUUUUCUUUUUCCCCUCCUAGUUAUGGCCUCUGGAAGAAUGUGGUAGUCUACAAGAGAGCCCAAAUGGGCGCAUUCUUCAAGAUGACUGACAGAAUUUCCAUAUGCAUAUCAGCAUGUUACGUUUAGGAUUUUAUAAAUUAUGUUUUAACUGUGUUGCUUUCUAACAAAAAAACUCUAUUAAAAAAGUCUGAUAUUUUUAUACCAAUAUGUAUUACAAACAAUUUUUAUUUAUUUAUUUUAUUUAUUUAUUUUUAUCUCAAGGCAGAACUAAAAUGAUUUAAAACUGAACAAAUACAUAUUAAUAGCAGUCCUGGAAUGUACUGUUUUUGCCAGAUCCCAAUUUAAAUGUCUGUUUUAGUUGAGUAAUUGUGAUGUACACCCAUAAGAGAGACAUCCUAGAUAGAAAUGGUGCUCAAAAAUAAAAAUCACUCAGUAAUGGUAUGAAAAACUAA